RNAcentral lists this ribosomal RNA (514 nucleotides) under uncultured bacterium. RNAcentral's name for it is "bacterial SSU rRNA". It matches the Rfam family "Bacterial small subunit ribosomal RNA", at positions 791 to 1308 of the family's 1533-position model. The record is from RNAcentral.
UAGUCCACGCCGUAAACGAUGGAUACUAGCUGUCCGGUGCCUUGAGCACUGGGCGGCCAAGCGAAAGUGAUAAGUAUCCCACCUGGGGAGUACGUUCGCAAGAAUGAAACUCAAAGGAAUUGACGGGGGCCCGCACAAGCGGUGGAGCAUGUGGUUUAAUUCGAUGAUACGCGAGGAACCUUACCAGGGCUUAAAUGCAUAUUGACAGGGUCAGAGAUGGCCUUUCCUUCGGGCAAUUUGCAAGGUGCUGCAUGGUUGUCGUCAGCUCGUGCCGUGAGGUGUCAGGUUAAGUCCUAUAACGAGCGCAACCCCUACCGUUAGUUGCCAGCGAGUAAUGUCGGGGACUCUAACGGGACUGCCGGUGCAAACCGUGAGGAAGGUGGGGAUGACGUCAAAUCAUCACGGCCCUUACGUCCUGGGCCACACACGUGCUACAAUGGCCGGUACAGAGAGCAGCCAUCCGGUAACGAGCGCGAUACUACAAACCGGUACACACGUACGGUAGUCGGGUCGU